GGCCUACGGGAGGCAGCAGUGGGGAAUAUUGGACAAUGGGGGCAACCCUGAUCCAGCCAUGCCGCGUGUGUGAAGAAGGCUUUCGGGUUGUAAAGCACUUUCAGUGAGGAGGAAAACUCUGCGACUAAUACUCGUAGGGCUUGACGUUACUCACAGAAGAAGCACCGGCUAACUCCGUGCCAGCAGCCGCGGUAAU
This 196-nucleotide ribosomal RNA is filed under the name uncultured Marinobacter sp. RNAcentral describes it as "partial 16S ribosomal RNA". It matches the Rfam family "Bacterial small subunit ribosomal RNA", at positions 335 to 524 of the family's 1533-position model. Lineage: Bacteria; Pseudomonadati; Pseudomonadota; Gammaproteobacteria; Pseudomonadales; Marinobacteraceae. The record is from RNAcentral.